GAUGAGCGCUGACAGAAUGCUUAACACAUGCAAGUCUUUGGCGAAGCUGUGCUUGCACAGCCUAGCCAAGGCGGACGGGUGAGUAACGCGUAAGGAACUUGCCCUGCAGUCAGGGAUAACAGACGGAAACGACUGAUAAGACCUGGUAAAGUCAGGCGGACUCAUGUCCAGCCUGAUGAAAAGAGAUGCUGCAGGAGAGCCUUGCGUCCUAUUAGCUUGUUGGUGGGGUAACGGCCCACCAAGGCGAUGAUAGGUAGCCGGCCUGAGAGGGUGGACGGCCACAAGGGGACUGAGAUACGGCCCUUACUCCUACGGGAGGCAGCAGUGGGGAAUAUUGGACAAUGGGGGCAACCCUGAUCCAGCAAUUCUGUGUGCACGAUGAAGGUUUUCGGAUUGUAAAGUGCUUUCAGCAGGGAAGAAAAAAAUGACGGUACCUGCAGAAGAAGCGACGGCUAAAUACGUG
Molecule: ribosomal RNA, 463 nt
Filed under: uncultured bacterium
Lineage: Bacteria
Description: partial 16S ribosomal RNA
Rfam family: Bacterial small subunit ribosomal RNA
Source: RNAcentral